This 497-nucleotide ribosomal RNA is filed under the name uncultured bacterium. RNAcentral's name for it is "partial 16S ribosomal RNA". It matches the Rfam family "Bacterial small subunit ribosomal RNA", at positions 28 to 507 of the family's 1533-position model. The record is from RNAcentral.
GAUGAACGCUGGCGGCGUGCCUAAUACAUGCAAGUCGAGCGAACAGACGAGGAGCUUGCUCCUCUGACGUUAGCGGCGGACGGGUGAGUAACACGUGGAUAACCUACCUAUAAGACUGGGAUAACUUCGGGAAACCGGAGCUAAUACCGGAUAAUAUAUUGAACCGCAUGGUUCAAUAGUGAAAGACGGUUUUGCUGUCACUUAUAGAUGGAUCCGCGCCGCAUUAGCUAGUUGGUAAGGUAACGGCUUACCAAGGCAACGAUGCGUAGCCGACCUGAGAGGGUGACCGGCCACACUGGAACUGAGACACGGUCCAGACUCCUACGGGAGGCAGCAGUAGGGAAUCUUCCGCAAUGGGCGAAAGCCUGACGGAGCAACCCCUCGUCAGUGAUGACGGUCUUCCGAUCGUAAAACUCUGUUAUUCGCGAAGAACAAAUGUGUAAGUAACUAUGCACGUCUUGACGGUACCUAAUCAGAAAGCCACGGCUAACUACGUG